AAAAGUAUUUUCUCAUAUAAAAUAUUGAUCAGUAAUUUAUAUCCUUAGUUGUUAUUGAAUAAAUGGAAUAUUGGUAAUAUGAAUUGUAUAUAAAACCUAAAUUUUUUAUCUAGGAUCCAAAGGUGCAGCAGACAAAAGGGCGAUUACUAAUGAAAUCAUUGAAUUUAUCAGAUUAUGAAGCAGAAAUGCUACAGAAAUUCAGCUAAACCACAAUGUGAUGAUAUUCUUCAACAAAUUUAACGAGAUAUUUUUAGUCUUCCCAAGCAAGCAGAAUUAUGUUCGUUGAAAAGUUCUCGCUCUACAGUCAAUUCUCGUUGUCGUAGUCGACAAACUAAAUCCAAACAAAAUUUUGAACAUACGUGAAGACAAUCUUGGUAUCAUCAACUUUUUUAAUAUAACGCAUCUAUUUUUGAUUAUCACUGACAUGCACAGAAACCGUCAACACCCAAGGUAAUCCAGCCACCUAGAAGACUAUCUCCCGGACAAUUCUAAGGUAGAAUUUGAGAAUUUAAGGAAACUACGCAUCUGAGGACCAUCUAAUAGUAGUAUGUAGUACUUUACAUGUAAUUACGAAAGCAAACGGUUCCUAGCGCUCGUGUGGCGAUUAUCGUGCUGCUAAUUUUAAAACUAUCGGGCCGCUGUUCUAUAUCGUCCUUACAAGAUCCUGCAUGGAAAGGUUAUUUUACAACCUAUGCGUUUCUACAACUUCGUUAAGAGAAGAUAAAGAACAUUUAAAAUAAAUAUUUCAAAUUGCACAAACUUAAAUUUGGUCAAUCUCAAUUGUCUUUUCUGGGACGUGAAACUUCAUUCCAAGGUAUUAAACCAUUAUUAAAGCAGAUAAACGCACUUAAAAUCUAUCCGCGAUGAACAUAUAUAAAUGAGCUCAAACGUUUCUUAUCCCUGAUCAAUGUUUGCAGACGAGACAUUGAGCACGCUAUCCCGAUGUCUCACGGCUGAACUAGACUGCUGGUACUACAGAAGUUCGUGAGAACAUACAAACUAUCACUCUGAGUAGACGAAUUUAAUGUUGUCGCAGGCGUUACUCUACACGAGAUAGUUUCAGCUCACACACCCUUUGGCUUUCCUUUUAAAACGUUCAAAAAUACGCAAACGCGUUAUAUUACGAUAUGGCAGGGAGCUAACAGCAGUCUAUUUAGCAGUUUAGCUUUUUAUAAAUUCAUUCUAGGAGGUAAACAUUGUCAUAUAAACAGAUCACAAAACAUUAAUUUAUGCUUGUAGCAAAAAAUUCAAAAAAGCUACAGAUCUGCAAGCCAGAUUACUUGAUUGGAUGCCGCACGUUUCCACAGAGAUUCGUUUUGUUAAUGAGAAAGAAAAGAUAUUACAACCGUCAAAAUGCAUUGGUCAUGUAGAAGUGUUUAAUGCAGAUGCGUUGGCUGAUGACAAACAAUUUAAGGACCAACUUCAAAUACUAUUAAACCGCAAGAACGCUAACCGAUUUCAACUCAAAUUUUUCCUCUCUACGAAAGCACUACUUACAUUUAUUGUGACCUAUCAACUAAUACCCUAAGAUCCCUUAUUACCCAAAAACAAGAGAGCAGUCUUUGCAGAGACUCGUAAUGUUUCAUACUAUGGCCCUUCCACAGUGAACUCGAUGGCUAAACGAUUCAUUUGACUGGGAAUAGUUGAAGACAUUAUGAUUCUCGCGGGAUCUUAUAUCCAUUGUCAGAGACCAGAAAUCAGUUAACACGCAUCGUCACAGCUACAAGGCUAUUCUACAUUAGGAACAAUUUUUAGAUAUUAACAAUUUUGGGCUGUUGGACCGUUUUCAACUAAUAAUAUUAAGCAAUAUGACUUGAUUUUAAUCGACCAUUUUACUACAUGGCGAGAGACUGUACCUGCAUUGAAUAUCGCUGCACAAACAGGUGCUAAAGCACUUAUCUUGCAACAGGUCCGUCGUUUUGCAGUACUACAAACAAUAACAUCUGACCAAGGCUGACAGUACCAAUUAAAGAUUUUCACAGAAUUAAAAUCGACAGGCAUCAAACAUGCUUCUACACCACUAAAUACUGCAAUCAGAUAGGUUACUUGAACAAUGGUAUACAACAUACAAAUCGGACAGUGGGGAAUCGUACAGCUUUUGAGGAAGAUCUGGAGGCAUCGCCAGAGAUAACAAAAAUACCAAAUGUAAGCAUGCCCUGGUUAUAUAAUUACAUCAAUACAUGAAUAAUAUACGACUUCAACAAUUAUCUUGAUUUUUUAACAAGAGGAUUUUUAUUCAUACUGCGCUGAUCACACGUAAAAACGUAUUCAAUAAAAUCCAUCAGCAUAGAAGUUUUUAAGAGAGAGGUGCCGUCGACGUCAUUUUGCGAUCUUUUUCGUUACCUUUACUCCACUCUUACGCUAUUGCUUCGCAAGUUUUUUUAUAGUUUACUGCGUACACGGUAUACCACUUAAAUUGCGCUUAAUAUUAACUGCACUUAAGUUAUACUUCACACAAAUGCGACGAUUGUGCUGAGACCGCUUUCUCAGUCCGAUUCUCCGCUCUUUGGUUUACUAAUACUACCUAAAACCGGUCAAAAGUGAUUAUUAGGGGGAUAGGCACGCAAGACGCCAUUGUUGAUGCAGCCUAGCCACACUGGCGGUGAUAUCUAGGAAGCAGUCCGCGCAGGGCUUCACUGUCGGCGCAAAAGCUAGUUUCCCUUAGGUGCUGAGGUUAAGAGUGCUAACUAGAAGAUAGUGCGCGCAAAGCCAUACAGUUGGAGCAUAGACAACCGUUCGAACGGAUUCCCCUUCCACAUUUGUCGGAGGAGAAGGCACGAAAAACAAAUGCCUUCGAAUAACUUCACAUGACAAACCUAGCUACGCUUAGAAGAUUAUAAUCUGAUGACUAGGGAGUAGCGCCAGCAAAGCUACACUGUGCAAGCACCAACAGGCGUUUGACGGGUUACCCUCCAAGUGUUUUAUGUGGUAACGCGCGAGACAUGCUUUAGAAUAAUUCAGCGUGACAUUUAGCUAGAGGGAAGAUGAUCGGUAACUUUACCUUAAGUAAGUCUCUGAAGCAUUAUGCGUUUUAUCGGCGGCCUUUAUAUAACCAUAACCAGGGCGCUGGUUAUGUACGGCGUUAACCUGAUUUCAUUUCCGAGUUUUGACUGUGUUUCGCUCUUUAAAAAUUUUGAAAACACGAGUAAGCAAAAUUGCUCACCCUUUUCGUUAGGACUGGUUGUUCAGAAGUAAUAUUGUUGUUUAGAGCUGGUUUUUUAAAAGGAAACAGCUGAAAAUUGAAAAUAAGAUAAGUUCCAAACAAAAUGGUUGACCUACAAGCAGCUGAAGCAAAACCAAAAUUUUAAUUUUGUGAAAGGAUUCUGCUAUUCAUUGCAUUAAUGGAAACAAACAAGCGCCGAAUUUGCGCCUUAUUUUGCCAUUAUUUUUUCGGAAUAAAUUUCGAAUGGCAAAAGCAAUAUAUAACUGUCAACCAAACAUUUCCCAAGAUACGCCUUCCAAUAAAAUGGUAUACAAAUAAUAAUAUUUUAUUUAUUUAAUUAAUUCAAGUCAGCUACAGAACAUGUCAUUAGCUGAAUAUAAGCUACAAAAGAACUUAAAAUGUAGUAUAGAGAAGAAAAAAAUAUAAAUAAAAAUAAGCAUAAGAUUAACAUAUAACAUAUACCGGCAUUUAACUAAGCCUUAAAUUAGUAUGCAGGGAUAUACAUUGAUGAACAAGUAUAUGAUUAUUUAUACAUUAUUAAUGAAAUGAGAAACAAAAUCAAAUAACAAAGAAUAUUUUGACACAAUUUGCGUGUAUUGUGUAAGACGCGAAAAUAAUUAGCAACUCGUUACGCACUACAAUGUUUUUCAUCUUGUUAACGGACAAAACGGACAGAUAAAAUAAGUGAUCGAUGAACAUUUUACACAUUAGUCGAAACGGAUUGAACAACUCAUAAUUGGUUCAGCAUUGUGGUAGCUGCAAGCCCACAAAGCGUCUUGAAACGCUACUGGGGAUGUGAACAUUAAUAAGUUCUAAUAAAAUCGGUGAAAAAACUUCUCCUUUUAUUAAAGGCUUAAAGGCGAAGGUUAGAUUCAGCAUUUCAUGCCGUUUUUCAAGGGUGGACAAGUCAAUGAGCUUCAACAUACGGUGGAAGAGGUAGCGUAGGGUCCCAUCCCAUACCUCGCAAAGCAAACAUCAAGACACACUCCAAGAGAUCAACAGGGUAUCUAUAGAUAGGAAGCCAAUCUACCGACGAGUAUUCAAAAAUUUGUCUAACUAAAAACGUAUGCUGACAAAUUAGUGACAGUUAAUAUCCCUUUUAAAAACCGGGCUGACAGCGCGAUAAAGUUGACUAAAACCAAAGUAAGCC
Molecule: long non-coding RNA, 4313 nt
Organism: Glossina fuscipes
Lineage: Eukaryota; Metazoa; Arthropoda; Insecta; Diptera; Glossinidae
Exons: 3
Source: RefSeq, a predicted model, not a curated record